CAUAAUGAUUGGGCGUAAAGUGUUUGUAGGCGGUAUUUGCUGAUUAUCGUAAAAUCUUAAGUUUUGAACUUAUUUCUGCGUCUAUUACACAAGUACUUGAGUCUAAUAGGGGAUAACAUAAUUUUAUAGGAAAGAGUAGAAUCUAGAGAUCUAUAAAGGAAUGCCGGCGGCGAAGGCGGUUAUCUGGGUUAGUACUGACGCUGUGGAACGAAAGCAUGGGGAUCAAACAGGAUUAGGUACCCUGGUAGUCCAUGCAGUCAAAUAUGAGUGCUAGUAUUAGGAGAUUUUCUGGUAUACAGCUAACGCGUUAAGCACUCCGC
RNAcentral lists this ribosomal RNA (320 nucleotides) under uncultured Ochromonas. Its description in RNAcentral is "bacterial SSU rRNA". It matches the Rfam family "Bacterial small subunit ribosomal RNA", at positions 549 to 872 of the family's 1533-position model. Lineage: Eukaryota; Chrysophyceae; Chromulinales; Chromulinaceae. The record is from RNAcentral.